This 974-nucleotide long non-coding RNA is filed under the name Theobroma cacao (cacao). Its description in RNAcentral is "long non-coding RNA (TCAC_LNC005444)". Lineage: Eukaryota; Viridiplantae; Streptophyta; Magnoliopsida; Malvales; Malvaceae. The record is from RNAcentral.
AGCCAUUAACAUUUUACAUUGUGGAUAAUUGAAACAUUUUAUGUGGUGGAGAGAGAUUGCUUAAUGGAUAAGUAUUACACAUGGACUAAUGAAAACAUGCCAUGUGUCAAGCUUGGAUUAUUCUAGAAUUUCCUCAUAAAAUCUAUUUAAAACUCUCUUAGUCUCACCCAUAUGGCCUGCCAAAGCAUGAAGUGAAGAGGAAAGGAAAGAACACAAACCCUAGGUGGGAAAAUUGAAGAAAAAGUGUGGGAUUUCAAGGGAUUAAGCUAAUAAAGGUAAAAUUUUGUGAUUUUAUCUUGUGAUUUACACUACCCAUGCUUUCUUUUUCAUUUUCCAUGCUUAGAACUCAAGUUUGCAUGAUGAACCCAUGCUGGCCGAAUUUGAGAGGAGAGGUUUUGAGCAUUGAUUUUGCUAGAUUUCAAGCUAAUUAAGUGUUUUUGGUUGUUUGGUAAUGGAAAGUAUGAAAAUCUAGCAAGGAAUCACUUUGUUCUUCACAAACCCACAAGAGGCCCAAUUUUCUAGGGAGGAUAUUGAGGCUGAAAUUGAUGAUAUUUCAUGAUAUAUUGUGGUAUUUAAUGAUUGGUGAGGCUAGAAAUUUAAUGGGAAAUUUUGGCAUGAAAAUAUGAAUUUUUACCUAAUGUAUAGACAUCUGCAAUUUAUGGUCCGGACUGAUAAAUUGAAUCAUAUUCACAGUCAUUGAGGUAUUUUAAGUAUAAUUGGAGUGUAGAAAGUGAAAGAAAUCUAUUUGGAGUUAAAUUGGAGGUUUUAGCCAAUUACACCGAGAAUAGUGCGAAUUAGGUCGAAUACCGUAUUUAAACGGCUAUUCGGACAUUUUGCAUCACAUUUCGUGCAUUCAUAUAGAUUUAUAGAGCCUUAAAUAGUUUAUGAUAAAUUGACACAAUUUAUGAAAAUUCGUGUCACGUAUGAUGUAUAGGUGGUGAGCCCUCUAACAAGGGUAAAGAGAUUGUGCCUGA